GAUGAACGCUGGCGGCGUGCCUAAUACAUGCAAGUCGAGCGAACAGACGAGGAGCUUGCUCCUCUGACGUUAGCGGCGGACGGGUGAGUAACACGUGGAUAACCUACCUAUAAGACUGGGAUAACUUCGGGAAACCGGAGCUAAUACCGGAUAAUAUUUUGAACCGCAUGGUUCAUUAGUGAAAGACGGUUUUGCUGUCACUUAUAGAUGGAUCCGCGCUGCAUUAGCUAGUUGGUAAGGUAACGGCUUACCAAGGCAACGAUGCGUAGCCGACCUGAGAGGGUGAUCGGCCACACUGGAACUGAGACACGGUCCAGACUCCUACGGGAGGCAGCAGUAGGGAAUCUUCCGCAAUGGGCGAAAGCUUGACGGAGCAACGCCGCGUGAGUGAUGAAGGUCUUCGGAUCGUAAAACUCUGUUAUUAGGGAAGAACAAAUGUGUAAGUAACUAUGCACGUCUUGACGGUACCUAAUCAGAAAGCCACGGCUAACUACGUG
Molecule: ribosomal RNA, 497 nt
Filed under: uncultured bacterium
Lineage: Bacteria
Description: partial 16S ribosomal RNA
Rfam family: Bacterial small subunit ribosomal RNA
Source: RNAcentral